Malaclemys terrapin pileata is the source of this 330-nucleotide long non-coding RNA. RefSeq lists it as uncharacterized. The record is from RefSeq and is a predicted model, not a curated record. The transcript is spliced from 2 exons. NCBI's taxonomy places the organism in Eukaryota, Metazoa, Chordata, Testudines, Emydidae.
ACGUUUGUCUUUGCUCCGUUAGGCGAGGGGGCGAGCGCUAUCUGUCAGGGCUAUCGCCUUUGGGGCCGCGCUAAGUGGUUUUGUUAAUGACUUUAACAAACAGGCAAGCCUACAAACCGGGAUGAUAGAAGUUAUCCAGUUCUCCCCAUCACACCCUGCUCGAGAAAGCGGGAUUAGGCUGAAUCCAAAGGCUUUACAAAUAUUGGGAGAAACUUCUCCCGUAUUUGUGGAGAUGCAACGAGAGACCGUCAGGCGACAGCAUUUCUAAAGGAAAAGACUUCUUUUUUUAAAAAUCCUUGGAUUUAGAAAUAAACUACAACUAUAAGGCAA